Molecule: long non-coding RNA, 1823 nt
Organism: Daucus carota subsp. sativus
Lineage: Eukaryota; Viridiplantae; Streptophyta; Magnoliopsida; Apiales; Apiaceae
Exons: 2
Source: RefSeq, a predicted model, not a curated record
UUUUUUUUUUCAUUAAUCUUGUUAAAUUGCGUAAUUUGUAGAUUGAUUUAGAUGAAUUAUUUGCUAAUCUAGCUGAUUUGUGUUAAUGUAUUUGUUUAUCACUGAUUUGUGUAUGUGUACAUAUUAGUUGCAUUUCGAUUUUGUGUGUUAGUAGUUUUGUGUUUAAAAGUAUAUUUUCUUACUUCAUUUCGUAUUAUAUAUUUGUGUUUGAAUAAUGUAUAUUAGGUGUUCGAUCAAAAGCCUCUAAAAACUAUAUGAUUAAUUGCAGCAAUGACAAGACUUCCACUAACUAAAAGAAAUUAUAUUCGAAGAACGAGGAUUAUAUUAUAAUGAUGCGGCUGAAAAUGAUUGCUUUAGUAUCUUGAUAUUUGCAAAUGAUUGUUGUGUUAGGGACAAGGGUAACAUUGAGAUAAAUAUACUCCAUUUUUAAGAUGGAAAGAAUUCAUUAUGUUGAUAGGUUAGUUAAUUGAAGUGAUGAUACGUGUAUCAAAAACCUUCGGAUGAACAUAAGGACGUUUCUAUAUAUUAUACUUUAACGAUUUUGAGACAGAAUGACUGAAUUUAGAAGUCAAUGUUUAUCUACUAUAGUGAUUCAUUUGAGUUUUCUUAUUGGAAAACUUUGGAACUGGUAAACACUCAUUUACAUAUAAUCUGUUAUUUCAGACUAAGAUGGAAAAAGUGAAGGAGACCGGAGUACAAAUGCUAUACUCUUUGGCGUUUGCUUGAUUUAGAUUAUGAGCUAAUUAUACAUAUAUAUUAUAAUAUGGGCGUAUGAAUGUUUGAUUUCCUAUUAUUUGCUAAAUGAUUUGUUAUAUAUUUUCGUAUGAGCAUAUUUUUGUUCAACUGAUUUGCUUGCUUUGUGUAGUAUAUUUUGUGUUUUGACAAUGGAAUUCUAGAAAGGAUGAUAAUUAUCUAUUAUAUGUGUAUGAUAUGAGAAGUCUAGUGAUUCUGUUUCCUUAUUCUUUAAUGUUGUGUUUGGUUGGGGAGAAUGGAAUGGAAUGAGUAAAAAUACUUGGAAUUAAUAGAGAUAGGAAGAAAGUUUGAAAAGAUUUUGAGGGAAUGCAAAAUUGCUAUGAUGAGAUUGGAGAAGAAAUUGAGAAUAGGAGAGAAUGGAGCAUUCCAUCUCAAAUUGAAGGUGUGGUAUCUAGCCUAUGAUGUAAGGAAUGGAAUGGAGGAAAGAAUGAAAUUUCUUAAAAAUUGUCCAUGAGAUAGUUCAUUUUUCAUUCCAUUCCUUCCGGAAUCAUUCACCCCAACCAAACACAACAUAAAUUAUUAUUAAAAUGCAACUUAUGAGUCAUUUGAGUUUUCUUAUGUGAAAACUUUGUGGCAGAUGGCGUAUGUUGCAACUGGUGUUGGAUCACGUGCUAGAAGCCAAGCAGAGAAGCACGAGCACUUGACAAAUUUGAUUGACCCGAGGCGUUUGUAUAAACUCUACACUAGGUGUUCAGAUGAUGAGGAUUAAGCUGUGGAAGUUAAAUGGUUGAUCAAAGACGUAAGUGAUGCUUUAGGAAAGUUUAAUCUCUCUAACCAUAUAUGGUUCUGCAAGAAUUUAGAUUUGCAGGGAAUGAAAAAGAAGCUAGUGGAAAUCCGUAGAAGGUAUGGCAUUAUGAUGGAGAGGAUCAUAGAGGAGCAUAGAGACACGAGGAGAAAGAAGAUAGAAAAUGGCGAUGACGGGGAUGCAGACAAGUUGCUUGAUAUCCUACUUGACAUAUCAAAAGAUGAGAGCCUGGAGAUUAGAUUGAGCAUAGAGAACAUCAAGGCUUUUAUACUGGUAAACGUGUUUUUAAAAUUCAAAACAAAAAUGUAUAAUGUUUGAGAGAGCA